Molecule: ribosomal RNA, 1039 nt
Filed under: uncultured Parcubacteria group bacterium
Lineage: Bacteria
Description: partial 16S ribosomal RNA
Source: RNAcentral
CUACGGAUGCCUUGUUACGACUUAAGCCCUGUCACCAAUCUCACCUUCUGCCCAGAUAAACUAGACAUUCGGGUGCUAUCGGCUUCCUUGCCUUGACGGGCGGUGUGUACAAGAUCCGAGAACGUAUUCACCGUGACGAGGCUGAUUCACGGUUACUAGCGAUUCCAACUUCAAGAAGUCGAGUUGCAGACUUCUAUCCGAACUGAGACAAGUUUUGAUGGGAUUUGCUCCACGUUUCCGCUUCGCGCCCCUUUGUACCUGCCAUUGUAGCACGUGUGUAGCCCAAGAUGUAAGAGCCAUGCUGAUUUGACGUCAUCCUCACCUUCCUCCUUGUUAUCCAAGGCAGUCUCCUAUGAAAUUAGUAACAUAGGACGAGGGUUGCGCUCGUUAAGGGACUUAACCAUACGUCUCACGACACGAGCUGACGACAACCAUGCAGCACCUGUAUAGCACUCUCGAAGAAGUCCUCAUUUCUGAGGAUUUGCAGCUAUAUGUCAAAUCUUGGUGAGGUUCCUCGCUUAUUGUCGAAUUAAACCACAUGCUCCACCGCUUGUGCGGAUCCCCGUCAAUUCCUUUGUGUUUUAGCCUUGCGGCCGUACUCCACAGGCGGGAUACUUAAGGUGUUAACUUAGGUAGACAACACUGGCAGGGUCGAUACUGCCAACAUUUAGUAUCCAUCGUUUACGGCAUGGACUACUGGGGUAUCUAAUCCCAUUCGCUACCCAUGCUUUCGUGUGUGAGCGUCAGAAACGUUCUAGCAAACUGCCUUCGCCUUUGGUGUUCCAACCGAUAUUAACGCAUUUUACUGCUACACCGGCCAUUCCGUUUGCCUCUCCCGUUCUCUAGUUUAGUAGUUUAACUCGCAGUCUCAAAGUUGAGCCUUGAGAUUUGACAAGUUACUUACCAAACCGCCUGGACACGCUUUACGCCCAAUAAAUCCGGAUAACGCUUGGGGCACUCGUAUUACCGCUGCUGCUGGCACGAGUUUAGCAGCCCCUUAUUCAUCAGGUACCGUCAUCGUUCUUCCCUGAUAAAAGGU